UUAAGUUUGCAGAUCAUC
This 18-nucleotide non-coding RNA is filed under the name Mus musculus (house mouse). The record is from RNAcentral. Lineage: Eukaryota; Metazoa; Chordata; Mammalia; Rodentia; Muridae.